Molecule: ribosomal RNA, 1343 nt
Filed under: Actinomycetes bacterium
Lineage: Bacteria; Bacillati; Actinomycetota; Actinomycetes
Description: Actinobacteria bacterium partial 16S ribosomal RNA
Source: RNAcentral
CCACCGGCUUCAGGUGUUACCGACUUUCAUGACUUGACGGGCGGUGUGUACAAGACCCGGGAACGUAUUCACCGCAGCGUUGCUGAUCUGCGAUUACUAGCGACUCCGACUUCAUGAGGUCGAGUUGCAGACCUCAAUCCGAACUGGGACCGGCUUUUUGGGAUUCGCUCCACCUCACGGUAUUGCAGCCCUUUGUACCGGCCAUUGUAGCAUGCGUGAAGCCCAAGACAUAAGGGGCAUGAUGAUUUGACGUCAUCCCCACCUUCCUCCGAGUUGACCCCGGCAGUAUCCCAUGAGUUCCCACCAUUACGUGCUGGCAACAUAGAACGAGGGUUGCGCUCGUUGCGGGACUUAACCCAACAUCUCACGACACGAGCUGACGACAACCAUGCACCACCUGUUCACCAGUGUCCAAAGAGUCCCGUAUUUCUACGGUGUUCUGGUGUAUGUCAAGCCUUGGUAAGGUUCUUCGCGUUGCAUCGAAUUAAUCCGCAUGCUCCGCCGCUUGUGCGGGUCCCCGUCAAUUCCUUUGAGUUUUAGCCUUGCGGCCGUACUCCCCAGGCGGGGAACUUAAUGCGUUAGCUGCGUCACGGAAACCGUGGAAUGGUCCCCACAACUAGUUCCCAACGUUUACGGGGUGGACUACCAGGGUAUCUAAGCCUGUUUGCUCCCCACCCUUUCGCUCCUCAGCGUCAGUUACGGCCCAGAGAUCUGCCUUCGCCAUCGGUGUUCCUCCUGAUAUCUGCGCAUUCCACCGCUACACCAGGAAUUCCAAUCUCCCCUACCGCACUCUAGUCUGCCCGUACCCACUGCAGGCCCGAGGUUGAGCCUCGGGAUUUCACAGCAGACGCGACAAACCGCCUACGAGCUCUUUACGCCCAAUAAUUCCGGAUAACGCUUGCGCCCUACGUAUUACCGCGGCUGCUGGCACGUAGUUAGCCGGCGCUUUUUCUGCAGGUACCGUCACUCUCGCUUCUUCCCUGCUAAAAGAGGUUUACAACCCGAAGGCCGUCAUCCCUCACGCGGCGUUGCUGCAUCAGGCUUCCGCCCAUUGUGCAAUAUUCCCCACUGCUGCCUCCCGUAGGAGUCUGGGCCGUGUCUCAGUCCCAGUGUGGCCGGUCACCCUCUCAGGCCGGCUACCCGUCGACGCCUUGGUGAGCCAUUACCUCACCAACAAGCUGAUAGGCCGCGAGCCCAUCCCAGACCGAAAAAUCUUUCCAACCCCCACCAUGCGAUGAGAGCUCAUAUCCAGUAUUAGACGCCGUUUCCAGCGCUUAUCCCAGAGUCCAGGGCAGGUUGCUCACGUGUUACUCACCCGUUCGCCACUGAUCCACCAAGCAAGC